UGAGAAUAAUAUAUAAAUUAUAUAUAUAUAUAUAAAAAAGUCAAUAUUUAUAAAAAUAUAGUAGCCGGACUAUAUAUAUAUAUAUAUAUAUAUAUAUAUAUAGUCGAGCUAGAAUACUAUCGAUAGUAAACGGACUUCGUUGCCACCCAUUUGUUUUUAAUGAUGGAGCGCCUAUAAAUUGACGAUCAUGACCGUUGAACAAGAUCUAUACCACUUUAAGUAUAUAGAAACCAAAUUUCAAAUCAUUUCGACAUCAUUGACCUAAUGAUCAAAGGGUUUCAAAAUUUAUAAUUUUAAUAGUAGAUAUGAGACAUUUUCUCGUUUAAUAAUGUAAAGCUAUUCAAAUCAAUUGAAUUUUGAUUAGAAAAUUUUUUAAACUAUUUAGAAUAAGGUCUAUAUUCUCGAUCUUGAUUACAAAAUUCCUAUCAUCACUUUUUAGAGGAUAUUCAUUUUCAGCCGUUCAUUUUUACGCCCACUUGAUGGAUAAGAGAAUAAUAUCGGAAAAGCAUGAAAUUUGAUUUUUAGAUACUUCAAAUGGUAUAGAUCAUAUUCAAUGGUGCCAACCGUCGAUUUGGAGGCUUCAUCAUCGAAAACAAAUUGGUGGCAACGGAAUCCGUUUGCUACCGAUAGUAUUCUAGCUCAACUCUCUCUCUCUCUAUAUAUAUAGAGAGAGAGAGAGAGUAAGCUGGUAUGCUUAUAGAAGUACGGAACAUUUCGUGCUUCUAAGUCGUUUUCGAUGUUGGGAUUUUCGAAUCGACGAUCGGCUUCGUUAGAAUUGAUCUAGAGUAUUUGAAGUACUUAGAAAAUAAAUUUUGUGAUUUUUCGAUAUCAUUUGCCUAGUUAUCGAAGGGGCUCAAAAUUAAUAAUUUUAAUGGCCGUGGUAAGCCGUUUGCAAGUCUAACGGUGUAGAAAUAUUUAAAUUACGUGAAAUUUUGAUAGAAAAUUUUUUAUACUAUAUAAAACAAGUUCAAGAACUUUGAUCUAAAAUUUUAAUGUCAUAUCACCAUAUUUUGUAAGAUUUUUAUUUUCAGCCGUUAUAUCAAAAAAUCACUUAUAUAUAUAUAUAAACGUGAUUUUAUAUAAAAUAAUUUCAUCAUAAUAUUCUCAUUCUGAAAAAAAAAU
Molecule: long non-coding RNA, 1122 nt
Filed under: Ananas comosus (pineapple)
Lineage: Eukaryota; Viridiplantae; Streptophyta; Magnoliopsida; Poales; Bromeliaceae
Description: long non-coding RNA (ACOM_LNC025268)
Source: RNAcentral